This 29-nucleotide non-coding RNA is filed under the name Mus musculus (house mouse). The record is from RNAcentral. Lineage: Eukaryota; Metazoa; Chordata; Mammalia; Rodentia; Muridae.
UGUGAGCUUUAUGCUCGUUCAUGUGCACA